UGAGGUCACACUCCAUGGGGAGAUGGUCACAUAAAGCUUCUUAGAAAAUGUCCGAAAUCCAGAGGGGCAGCCAAAUCUUAAAGCUCCAAAAUGAUCUCCUUUGACUCCAUGUCUCACAUCCUGAUCCUGCAGAUGCAAGAGGAGAUCUUAGAGACGAAAAAGGGGAAGCUCCAUUAAAAUUGGUAAAGGAAGAAACAUAAUAUGAAAGGAGGGAAAUAAUGAGGUAAAAGAUGUGGAGACUGCUUUCCAGACAAAGUAAGAAUGAACUUCACUUUGGAAUAACAAAGCAGUGCUUGCUUGGCAAGAUGGAGUCUUGUUCUUUCGCCCAGGCUGGAGGAGUGCAGUGGUGCGAUCUCUGCUCACUGCAACCUCUGCCUCCCGGGUUCAAGCAAUUCUCCUGCUUC
This is a long non-coding RNA of Pan troglodytes (chimpanzee), 404 nucleotides long. RefSeq lists it as uncharacterized. The transcript is spliced from 4 exons. Lineage: Eukaryota; Metazoa; Chordata; Mammalia; Primates; Hominidae. The record is from RefSeq and is a predicted model, not a curated record.